This 423-nucleotide ribosomal RNA is filed under the name uncultured bacterium. Its description in RNAcentral is "bacterial SSU rRNA". It matches the Rfam family "Bacterial small subunit ribosomal RNA", at positions 358 to 773 of the family's 1533-position model. The record is from RNAcentral.
GGAAUUUUGCGCAAUGGGCGGAAGCCUGACGCAGCAACGCCGCGUGGAGGAUGAAGGUCUUUGGAUUGUAAACUCCUGUCAGCAGGGAAAAAGCGACUGGACCGAAUACGUCCGGGAGUUGAUUGUACCUGCAGAGGAAGCCCCGGCCAACCCUGGUCCAGCAGCCGCGGUAAUACAGAGGGGGCGAGCGUUAUUCGGAAUUAUUGGGCGUAAAGGGCGCGUAGGCGGCUUUGCAAGUGGCGGGUGAAAGCCCUCGGCUUAACCGAGGAACUGCCUGUCAGACUGUGAGGCUUGAGACCGGGAGAGGUGAGUGGAAUUCCCAGUGUAGCGGUGAAAUGCGUAGAUAUUGGGAGGAGCACCAGUGGCGAAGGCGGCUCACUGGACCGGAACUGACGCUGAGGCGCGAAAGCGUGGGGAGCAAAC